UGAGUGAGAGAUAGAGGAGGCCGGGCAGAUACACGGCGCCCCAUUGUGAGCCUGUGAUUGAGUGAGUGAGUGAGAUCCUGAGUGAGAUCAUGAGUGAGUGAGAUCAUGAGUGAGAUCAUGAGUGAGUGAGAUCAUGAGUGAGUGAGAUCGUGACUGAGAUCAUGAGUCUGUGAGUGAGAUCAUGAGUGAGUGAGAUCAUGAGAUCGUGAGUGAGAUGAUGAGUCUGAGUGAGAUCGUGAGUCUGUGAGUGAGAUAGUGAGUGAGACUGAGUGAGAUCAUGAGUCUGUGAGAUAGUGAGCAAGUGAGUGAGAUCGUGAGUCUGUGAGUGAGUGAAAUCAUGAGUGAGAUCGUGAGCCUGUGAGAUUGUGAGUGAGAUUGUGAGUCUGUGAGUAAGUGAAAUCAUGAGUGAGUGAGUGAGUGAGUCUGAGUGAGAGACCCUCCUCUAGGAUCGAGGAGAACAGGAGCAGAAAGAAGAGCUGGAGGUGCUCCUCAGCAAGCACGGCCCCGAGAGCCAGAGGGGUGCACCCCACCUGGCCCACAGUCGCUGCUGGGAUAAAUUAUGAAGCAGCCUACGGAAGGCAGAGGCAGCUCUGGAGGCAGGCGAGGAGCCCGU
This 613-nucleotide long non-coding RNA is filed under the name Homo sapiens (human). Its description in RNAcentral is "HSALNT0254010". Lineage: Eukaryota; Metazoa; Chordata; Mammalia; Primates; Hominidae. The record is from RNAcentral.